GAUGAACGCUGGCGGCGUGCCUAAUACAUGCAAGUCGAGCGAACAGACGAGGAGCUUGCUCCUCUGACGUUAGCGGCGGACGGGUGAGUAACACGUGGAUAACCUACCUAUAAGACUGGGAUAACUUCGGGAAACCGGAGCUAAUACCGGAUAAUAUAUUGAACCGCAUGGUUCAAUAUUGAAAGACGGUUUUGCUGUCACUUAUAGAUGGAUCCGCGCCGCAUUAGCUAGUUGGUAAGGUAACGGCUUACCAAGGCAACGAUGCGUAGCCGACCUGAGAGGGUGAUCGGCCACACUGGAACUGAGACACGGUCCAGACUCCUACGGGAGGCAGCAGUAGGGAAUCUUCCGCAAAGGGCGAAAGCCUGACGGAGCAACGCCGCGUGAGUGAUGAAGGUCUUCGGAUCGUAAAACUCUGUUAUUAGGGAAGAACAAAUGUGUAAGUAACUAUGCACGUCUUGACGGUACCUAAUCAGAAAGCCACGGCUAACUACGUG
This 497-nucleotide ribosomal RNA is filed under the name uncultured bacterium. RNAcentral describes it as "partial 16S ribosomal RNA". It matches the Rfam family "Bacterial small subunit ribosomal RNA", at positions 28 to 507 of the family's 1533-position model. The record is from RNAcentral.